GUCAGCAUUGCUGACAUCCUGUCGCCAUCAUAUAAGUACUUGUCAUUCAGACCUGCUCAUCACUCAGCCUUGUUUGAGCCUUUGCCUCACAUCUCCUCGGCAUCUCCUCGGCACCUCCUCGGCAUCUCCUCGGCAUCUCCACACCACAGGAGCCAUGAACACUGUGAUUCUUCUCAGCGCAAUUUUUGUUUUCGCCUACAGCGCGCCCAGUACUCCGCACAACCAUCUGAUCUUGGAGAACCUAAUGAAAGACCUGAACGUUUCUCUUCCUAGGGACCUCCAAAACAAACUUGUUCCGGGCGUUUCGAAGAACGACUGCCACCAUGAAGAUUUCUGCAAAGCCGAACAUGCCCUGCUCAAAGUAAAGCACAGCUUCAUGAAGAACUGGAAUAUUGUCAGGACACUGAAGGUGUACAAUCAGAAACGAAACUGCACUGUACACCAUACUGGAGAGGAGCUGCAGCUGAGGGAGCUGUUGAGGAAUCUACUCCUGUGCGCACAAAAGCUGUACUCCACACUCAGCACGGCCUAAGCCGACCUUCUCGAGACCGUGUUCUCGCCUGAUGGUUUCGCUAUGUUUUUAAACGCCUGUGUAUUUAUCAUAUUUAAAUAUUUAACAUAGUAUUUUUGUAGCUAUUUAUCAAAGAAUAAUAAAUGCAUGUGGAAAUGGCA
This 672-nucleotide long non-coding RNA is filed under the name Scleropages formosus (Asian bonytongue). RNAcentral describes it as "lncRNA (ENSSFOG00015031710.1)". Lineage: Eukaryota; Metazoa; Chordata; Actinopteri; Osteoglossiformes; Osteoglossidae. The record is from RNAcentral.